This 429-nucleotide ribosomal RNA is filed under the name Chloroflexota bacterium. RNAcentral describes it as "Chloroflexi bacterium partial 16S ribosomal RNA". It matches the Rfam family "Bacterial small subunit ribosomal RNA", at positions 355 to 776 of the family's 1533-position model. Lineage: Bacteria; Bacillati; Chloroflexota. The record is from RNAcentral.
UAGGGAAUCUUCGGCAAUGGACGAAAGUCUGACCGAGCAACGCCGCGUGAGUGAAGAAGGUUUUCGGAUCGUAAAACUCUGUUGUUAGAGAAGAACAAGGACGUUAGUAACUGAACGUCCCCUGACGGUAUCUAACCAGAAAGCCACGGCUAACUACGUGCCAGCAGCCGCGGUAAUACGUAGGUGGCAAGCGUUGUCCGGAUUUAUUGGGCGUAAAGCGAGCGCAGGCGGUUUCUUAAGUCUGAUGUGAAAGCCCCCGGAUCAACCGGGGAGGGUCAUUGGAAACUGGGAGACUUGAGUGCAGAAGAGGAGAGUGGAAUUCCAUGUGUAGCGAUGAAAUGCGUAGAUAUAUGGAGGAACACCAGUGGCGAAGGCGGCUCUCUGGUCUGUAACUGACGCUGAGGCUCGAAAGCGUGGGGAGCAAACAGG